GCUUGCGCUGAUCCCUCCACCCGCUCGCCUUCUUCCCGGCAACCCAGGCCCCACCCUAGGCGCAGCGAUGGGUGCCCGAGCACGGGUGACGGCGGCGACGCUCGCGAGGGCGGACGCCGGUGGCGACAUCGUCCACCAGGACGUCGACGCGCCCAAAUCCUCGGCUACUCGAACGACUUCAUGCUUGUAUUCUCCGUCUCUCCAGCCGCCAGACAUGAAGAAGAAGUCUGCGACUCUGGCGGCAGUUGCCCACGGCCAAUGAGAAGGAAGUCGCGGUAGUUCCAGGGACAAGAAGAUGACAGCAGCCCCCCGACAGCCUCCUGCAAGCACAGCGAGGUAAAAAGGGUGGUGUGGUUCGGUUGGAUGCCCCGUUACUAAAAAAUCUUGUUGAAAAACUGCAGGUUUCUGUAAAGAUAUAUGUUUGAGUAGUGUCCGAAUUUACCAAGGUGUUAGCUUUCUUAUUCAGGAAGAGGUUGUCAAGAAGACAAAAUCAGUUGGGAAGCUCAAACAAGAAGCUGAGAAUUGCCUAUAAUAGAGUGAAAGAUUUAACAACGAGAAGGCUGAGUUUGAGCAAGCUUCCUUCACAAAAGCAUGUCAUGGACCCUUUGUUCCUGGCCUCCACUCCGUCGAGGCACAUAUGAGGGUUACCAUGAUUCUGGUAGUGCUUGUUCUACCAUCAGGUGGAGGGCUAUGAGGAUGUUGUGGCAAUAAGACUAUGACGCCAUAUAGGUUCAAUCAGUAUAUGAAGCAGAUGCCACGUACUAUAUUGCUUACCUGUGCAGGGCUAAGAGGAAGUUGAUGCAUGGCAGGGGACGGAGGUGCAGCAAGAUCCUGGAGAGGCCGCGCCGAUGCAUCUUCCAAAGGGUGACUCGAAACCAGCAGAGGGACAGGGAUCAUGCGAAAAUGCUGAUUCAGUGAAAAUCUGGAAACUCAACUUGUGGGCCAUCGGAUCAAUAAGGAGCGCACAGAUGAGAUGGUGGGCUUGCUAAUCACCUGGUUGUACAUUUACACGGGGCUGACUGUAUUCAUGGCAAAUUUGUUGGCAACAAGUAGGGUGAUUCAUGGAAAGUAAAAUGGUUAUUUUCUCUGAUCUAAACAUGUGAUAAAAAACAUGGCAAUUUCUGAAACUUUUAUUUGUACUAAUCGUUUGUUUGUAGUUGAACGGUUUCUCAUACUAUGUUCGAACUUAUAUAUAUAUUUUAUU
Triticum aestivum (bread wheat) is the source of this 1204-nucleotide long non-coding RNA. RefSeq lists it as uncharacterized. The record is from RefSeq and is a predicted model, not a curated record. NCBI's taxonomy places the organism in Eukaryota, Viridiplantae, Streptophyta, Magnoliopsida, Poales, Poaceae. The transcript is spliced from 5 exons.